Molecule: long non-coding RNA, 415 nt
Organism: Sarcophilus harrisii (Tasmanian devil)
Lineage: Eukaryota; Metazoa; Chordata; Mammalia; Dasyuromorphia; Dasyuridae
Exons: 3
Source: RefSeq, a predicted model, not a curated record
AGUACUGCUUCUGACUCAGAGGCCUCAAAACCUGUUCCUGCUGUGCUAACACUGGGACUGGUGCAGGGGCUACACUGGCUUGGUCUUCUCAAGCCCUAUUCAAAUUCAUCAUGAUGGCACAGAGGUGAUUCUUGCUUCUCAAAGGCUCUUCCAGAAAAGCAUAUGACCUGAUAGGUCCUACAAAAUUGGAAAGGUGAGGAUCCUGAGGUCACACACACAUCUGCUAAAUGGCAGUGUCAGAAUUUGAAUUUACAUCUGACUCCAAGGCCUAAAACUUUUUUCUUUGUUCUGCAAAAUUCAUGUCAUGUGAGUUUUCCAGAGUUGUUACAGACAGCAUUUAGUGGGUCAUUGAAAUGUCAUGUCCCAAGAAAAAACAAAAUGGCUGCUGCUUUUUAUCAUGAUAUCUGAUAUUUAA